This 497-nucleotide ribosomal RNA is filed under the name uncultured bacterium. Its description in RNAcentral is "partial 16S ribosomal RNA". It matches the Rfam family "Bacterial small subunit ribosomal RNA", at positions 28 to 507 of the family's 1533-position model. The record is from RNAcentral.
GAUGAACGCUGGCGGCGUGCCUAAUACAUGCAAGUCGAGCGAACGGACGAGAAGCUUGCUUCUCUGAUGUUAGCGGCGGACGGGUGAGUAACACGUGGAUAACCUACCUAUAAGACUGGGAUAACUUCGGGAAACCGGAGCUAAUACCGGAUAAUAUUUUGAACCGCAUGGUUCAAAAGUGAAAGACGGUCUUGCUGUCACUUAUAGAUGGAUCCGCGCUGCAUUAGCUAGUUGGUAAGGUAACGGCUUACCAGGGCAACGAUGCAUAGCCGACCUGAGAGGGUGAUCGGCCACACUGGAACUGAGACACGGUCCAGACUCCUACGGGAGGCAGCGGUAGGGAAUCUUCCGCAAUGGGCGAAAGCCUGACGGAGCAACGUCGCGUGAGUGAUGAAGGUCUUCGGAUCGUAAAACUCUGUUAUUAGGGAAGAACAUAUGUGUAAGUAACUGUGCACAUCUUGACGGUACCUAAUCAGAAAGCCACGGCUAACUACGUG